AGAGUUUGAUCAUGGCUCAGAAUGAACGCUGGCGGCGUGCCUAACACAUGCAAGUCGAACGAGGCGGAGGGGGGCAACUCCUUCCGUCGAGUGGCGGACGGGUGAGUAACACGUGGGUAACCUGCCCGGAAGUGGGGAAUACCUCGGGGAAACUCGAGCUAAUUCCGCAUGACAUCUUUGGGACGGAAGUCCUGACGAUCAAAGCGGGGUCGCAAGACCUCGCGCUACCGGAUGGGCCCGCGCCCGAUUAGCUAGUUGGUGAGGUAACGGCUCACCAAGGCUUCGAUCGGUAACCGGCCUGAGAGGGCGAUCGGUCACACCGGAACUGAGACACGGUCCGGACUCCUACGGGAGGCAGCAGUGGGGAAUCUUGCGCAAUGGGCGAAAGCCUGACGCAGCAACGCCGCGUGGAGGAUGAAGGCCCUUGGGUUGUAAACUCCUGUCGGCUGGGAAGAAAUCAUACGGUGCUAAUACCACCGUGUGUUGACUGUACCAGCAAAGGAAGCCCCGGCUAACUCUGUGCCAGCAGCCGCGGUA
This 537-nucleotide ribosomal RNA is filed under the name uncultured Acidobacteriota bacterium. RNAcentral's name for it is "bacterial SSU rRNA". It matches the Rfam family "Bacterial small subunit ribosomal RNA", at positions 8 to 522 of the family's 1533-position model. Lineage: Bacteria; Pseudomonadati; Acidobacteriota. The record is from RNAcentral.